GGGCCCGUAGUUUAAUGGCAUAACACUCGCUUAGCACUAGAUGCCUGCGAGAGGUUCGGGGUUCGAUUCCCCGCGAGUCCA
Hypoxylon fuscum is the source of this 81-nucleotide non-coding RNA. NCBI's taxonomy places the organism in Eukaryota, Fungi, Ascomycota, Sordariomycetes, Xylariales, Hypoxylaceae. The record is from the annotation of a GenBank genome assembly.